Molecule: ribosomal RNA, 329 nt
Filed under: uncultured eukaryote
Lineage: Eukaryota
Description: partial 18S ribosomal RNA
Rfam family: Eukaryotic small subunit ribosomal RNA
Source: RNAcentral
CCCUUAGAUGUUCUGGGCCGCACGCGCGCUACAAUGAUGAAUUCAAAGAGUUUAUAACCUUGGUUGAAAAGCCUGGGUAAUCUUUUGAACUUUCGUCGUGAUGGGGCUAGACCCUUGCAAUUAUUGGUCUCCAACGAGGAAUUCCUAGUAAACGCAAGUCAUCAGCUUGCAUUGAUUACGUCCCUGCCCUUUGUACACACCGCCCGUCGCACCUACCGAUUGAAUGGUCCGGUGAAAUCUUCGGAUUGAGACUUUGAUUUCUUCACGGAAAACGCUGUUUUAAAAAGUUGAUUAAACCUUACCAUUUAGAGGAAGGUGAAGUCGUAACA